GGGACUCAGAGGGGAGAGGACAUGUUUUGACAGGAUGACUUCUUAUAAGAGCAUCUCUGAGUGUGCUUAUCUUGUGCUGAAGGAAUUAUCUACUUACUGGUAUUCCCUUACCUGCUCCUUCAGGACUCUGAGUGGUACAGUGUGCCUCCUGACGGGCCCUACUUGCCUGCUCUUUCCUUGUUAA
Molecule: long non-coding RNA, 184 nt
Filed under: Mus spicilegus (steppe mouse)
Lineage: Eukaryota; Metazoa; Chordata; Mammalia; Rodentia; Muridae
Description: lncRNA (ENSMSIG00000010331.1)
Source: RNAcentral